AGACAGCAGCAGCCGCGGGAACACAGAGGGUGCGAGCGUUAAUCGGAUUUACUGGCGUAAAGCGUGCGUAGGCGGCUUCUUAAGUCGGAUGUGAAAUCCCUGAGCUUAACUUAGGAAUUGCAUUCGAUACUGGGAAGCUAGAGUAUGGGAGAGGAUGGUAGAAUUCCAGGUGUAGCGGUGAAAUGCGUAGAGAUCUGGAGGAAUACCGAUGGCGAAGGCAGCCAUCUGGCCUAAUACUGACGCUGAGGUACGAAAGCAUGGGGAGCAAACAGGAUUAGAUACCCCGGUAGUCCCUGUCUCUUAUACA
This 307-nucleotide ribosomal RNA is filed under the name uncultured bacterium. Its description in RNAcentral is "partial 16S ribosomal RNA". It matches the Rfam family "Bacterial small subunit ribosomal RNA", at positions 506 to 808 of the family's 1533-position model. The record is from RNAcentral.